UGCCAGCAGCCGCGGUAAUACAGAGGGUGCGAGCGUUAAUCGGAAUUACUGGGCGUAAAGCGUGCGUAGGUGGCUAGUUAAGUUGGAUGUGAAAGCCCUGGGCUUAACCUAGGAAUUGCAUUCAAGACUGGCUGGCUAGAGUAGAGUAGAGGGUAGUGGAAUUUCCGGUGUAGCGGUGAAAUGCGUAGAUAUCGGAAGGAACACCAGUGGCGAAGGCGACUUCCUGGGCCAAUACUGACGCUGAGGUGCGAAAGCGUGGGGAGCAAACAGGAUUAGAUA
This 279-nucleotide ribosomal RNA is filed under the name uncultured bacterium. Its description in RNAcentral is "partial 16S ribosomal RNA". It matches the Rfam family "Bacterial small subunit ribosomal RNA", at positions 506 to 784 of the family's 1533-position model. The record is from RNAcentral.